Non-coding RNA from Peromyscus maniculatus bairdii (prairie deer mouse), 474 nucleotides. NCBI's taxonomy places the organism in Eukaryota, Metazoa, Chordata, Mammalia, Rodentia, Cricetidae. The record is from RefSeq and is a predicted model, not a curated record.
ACAGCAAGCAUGUGAUUUGAGUAUGCUCUAGCUCUUGCAUGAGCUCUGCAUGAGCGGAGUCACCAGAUUUUUUGCCAAAUGGCUCCUUUCAUUUGUUAAUCUUGAUGUCUCCCUCUCCAGGUCCUGGCCUCUUGACACCCCCAGCAGUAGGUUUACAGCUGUUUCCACGCUCAAGCUUCAUUUUUCUAACCCCCCACUCCUUAAUUGGUUUAAAACCUUCAAGAUUUUCUCUCUGUUAAGACAAGAGGUACUUUAUUUUCUCUCUGUUGGGACUUCCCAGCAAGAACAGGGCAGGAAGGGCACCUUAGACCCUUCAUAGAAUUUCACCAUUGACACCAAUGUCUCAGUCAUGAGAAGAUCUGUGAAGAGGAACUUGAGUUUGUGAGGGAAGACCAGUAGGCGUGGUGGCAGGAACUUGAAGCUGAGCACUCACACCUCACAUUGCAAGCAUGAAGCAGUGAGAGCAACUGAAAA